CGGGGAAUUUUGGACAAUGGGCGAAAGCCUGAUCCAGCCAUGCCGCGUGCAGGAUGAAGGCCUUCGGGUUGUAAACUGCUUUUGUACGGAACGAAAAGACUCUGGUUAAUACCUGGGGUCCAUGACGGUACCGUAAGAAUAAGCACCGGCUAACUACGUGCCAGCAGCCGCGGUAAUACGUAGGGUGCAAGCGUUAAUCGGAAUUACUGGGCGUAAAGCGUGCGCAGGCGGUUAUAUAAGACAGAUGUGAAAUCCCCGGGCUCAACCUGGGAACUGCAUUUGUGACUGUAUAGCUAGAGUACGGCAGAGGGGGAUGGAAUUCCGCGUGUAGCAGUGAAAUGCGUAGAUAUGCGGAGGAACACCGAUGGCGAAGGCAAUCCCCUGGGCCUGUACUGACGCUCAUGCACGAAAAGCGUGGGGGAGCAAACAGGAUUAGAUACCCUGGUAGUCCACGCCCUAAAACGAUGUCAACUGGGUUGUUGGGGUCUUUCACUGACUCAGUAACGAAGCUAACGCGUGAAGUUGACCGCCUGGGGAGUACGGCCGCAAGGUUG
RNAcentral lists this ribosomal RNA (554 nucleotides) under uncultured bacterium. RNAcentral describes it as "partial 16S ribosomal RNA". It matches the Rfam family "Bacterial small subunit ribosomal RNA", at positions 355 to 896 of the family's 1533-position model. The record is from RNAcentral.